This is a long non-coding RNA of Felis catus (domestic cat), 3617 nucleotides long. RefSeq lists it as uncharacterized. The record is from RefSeq and is a predicted model, not a curated record. Lineage: Eukaryota; Metazoa; Chordata; Mammalia; Carnivora; Felidae. The transcript has 3 exons.
CUCAGGUCCCUGGUGGACUCUCCUGAAAAAGAGAAAUCGCCUCUAGAUGUGCUCCCCAAGCAGGGUGCGGGCCCGCGAUUGGCCGCAGAUAAUUGGGCUGUUGUCUGGGUCUCCGGGAAUGGGCUGUUUGGGAACAUUAGCGAAGGCCGCCGGCGCCUUGCAGGGCUGGGGCGCCUUGCAGGGCUGGGGCGUGUGGAGCUGUGGAAUAAACCAAGCAGGGGGUGGCGUGGUCAUCAGAAACUCCGCUGGGGCCCGGGGGCUGCCUCCGGUCCCCUGGGGUGGGGGGCACUGAGCACCAGCACUUCUAGAAGCCACUGGUCCUCUCUGGUUCCUUCCUUGCAGGAGCCCUCUGUCCCCAGACUGCUUCUCCGGUGGCCCCCACGGGGCGUACAGGACAGAACAGUGCAUUUCAAGAAGCUCCCCAAGACCCGGGUGCCCUCUGCACUCUGCGGCUUGAGCCCAUCCGUCGUCAUGAACCCCCGGGGUUUUCAUCUGAUGCUACCUUGCUGGGUUUGUUCAAGGAUGAAGGGAGAUGAGAUUUCUACAAGGGCACCUAGAAUGUUCAAUACAUGGUGUCCUUUCCGUCCUGUCCUUGUGAGGGACCCCCCCCUUGACAUGCCUCGUUUGCCCUGGUACCAGAUUCAAAGCACGUGAACUGCAGACUCCCCCUAGGCCCCUCCAGUGAGGGUGAGCCCCCGCCCCGGGCUCCAACACCACAAGACCUCCGUCAGAACAACAGCUAACGUUUCUUAAGUGUCCACAGGGCAUCAGGUGCCGUGUUGAGCACUCUCCCCCAUUAUCCCACAUCGCCCUCACAUCUACCCCAUUAGCCGAGCAUCGUUCAUACCCCACUUUAGAGACAAGGAGACAUGCUCAGAAACGCUGAGAUACUUCACCAGGUUUGCCCAAUGAUAGAGCUCAGCUUUGAAGGCCCAGACCCUCUGACCCCAGCUCCCAGAUCACGGCCGCCACACCUUCCCCGGAUGAUAGCUCCCACCUGCCAGGUCACUCUGUGCCUGAUCACACCUGAUUUUCUCCUUCAAGGCUCCUGCUACCCCCAGAAAAGGAGGAAUGAGUCUCUCUCUCUCUCUUCUCCUUCAGACCCACUUCACAGGUGAACACAUCAAGGCCCAGUGGGACACAGUCAUUGACUCCAUGCCCAGAGCUGCUAAAAGUUCGGAGAAGAGGCAAGUUGAGGAGGUGGAAGACAGGAAAGCAAGAGGCUGGGACUCUCUGUGCACGCAAGGAAGGUCUGGGGAAGAAGCCUGCUCAAAGAGAGGAAGCAGGCGAACACCAGCAGGAGAGAUCAGAGUGGUCCCAGCCCAGAAGCUGCAGCCAGUACUGUUCACCCCCUGCUGGAAUGAAGUGCUCAGAAUCCCCCUCGCCAACCGCCAACCUUUCCACAUGGGUAUGUGCGUCCCGGUCUUCUGGCUGCCCCAGCAGAGCAGAACCACGAAUGUCUGUUGUCUCCCUUUCCUAGGGCAAUGCCAGCCCCGAGGCAGGAAGAGGAGAAGGUGGCAGUGUUUCCUGAGCUCUCACUGUGCUAGGGACCUUGGUGUGCAUGACCCUGGGGCACAGCUGUCCCAGAUCAACCCUUGAUGCAGAUGCCCCCAUGCUGUUCUAGUUAAUAGGCAAGGAUACCCUGCUGCCCCAUUUCACCUGCUCCCCCAGACACAGCCAGUCACUGCCUCCCGGAACCUCUCACACCACAGGGGAGCUCCUCUCAGAAGCCAGAGCAGGGGGGCGGGCGAUGCAGCCAUCAAGAGAGCACAAGAGGCUUCUGCCAGAUCAGAGGGAAGGAUUCUGAGGCUCUUCCCACCGUUAACAUAAUGAGGGGGUAACCUGGUAUUUAAAUCCCGGCCAAAGAGGUAAAUCUGCAUUGUCAGCCUUCAACGUGAUUUACAAAAUAAUUUUAAAAUGCAUGAACCUUCUUCUUUCUAAAGCAUGAGGGUGCUAAGUUAACUUCUAAAUAUUUUAUCGCACAAGGUGAGCUGUUUUGCCUCGUGGCCAUCACUCACAGAGCAGAGAAGGGGGCGCGAGGUGCGGGAGAGCCCCUGAAGGCCCUCCGUCGUGGUCACUCAUGCAGGACAGUCUUGGGGGGAGCGGGGGGCGGGUUCUGUGGUUUAUUUUGCCUCUGGUCAUUUGAAUAGUGCUUUUGUUCACCAUCUUCAGAGAAAAUGACUGCUGUGGGCAAGCUGGGAGGUAUUUUCUAACUUGGUUCUUUAGAGCUCGCUGACUUUGAGGCUUUCCUGGGCAGGGAUCCCUGAAGGGCCAAGGAGAGCCUGCAGGCUGGGAGGGGUGGGGAACAACAACACCCCAGCAUCUUUGCUAUCUGAAAGAGAUGGCAGCUGGCCCCAGUGAGAGGCGAGGACAACCCAAGACUCAAUCCAUCUGGGAAGGAAAGAAAAUGCUACAUGCCAAAGACAAAGGCUUUUUCUCCCUUGUUGCUAACUUCCUACCGAAGGCUAGGGUCAAGCCUUGAUCCUGGAGCUAAAUGCUGAGUGCUGGUGUGCCCAAAUGAUUCUGAUCAGGAUCCUCGACAGCCAUGUGGGACUAUGAGUCUUGGUCAGAGCUCUACGGCAUGGAAGUCAACCCAUCUCUAAAUCUGUUCCUCCCCGUCACCAGAGGAGGUGUAUGGGUAGACGGUGACUGGGAUGUUGGUUCCAAAGACCCUUGAAUAUCACCUGCAACUGAAGGGGUAGACCAAGGCACCCUUCCCGGUGAGCGGAAUCAGAAUUUCUUGGAGAAAGAACACAGGAGCCUGCGUUUAUAAGUAACCUCCGCGGUGGUUCUCACGCACGCUGGAAUUUCAGAACUGCUGGGCUACGCUAAAGAUUCUGAACCCUAUGCGAACACUGCAAUUGUAGAGGGAACCUGUAGAACCCACCCCAGAGAUCUUGAUUUAUUCCAGUAGGAGGGUGGCAUGGAGAGCUUUAAAAGCGUCCCAGGUGAUGCUGGGGUGCAGCCAAGGCUGACCACCAACCACUGAGCUAGAGGAACAUCAGGCUUGUGGAUUUUAUUGUGUUUUAGUAUCUGCACUCAACUUGAACUUCUCUAAGUGAUGGAGUGCUCGCCGGGGUUCCGGGUACUUCAUUCCUGGACCGAUGGUUCCGAGAGACCUCGUUCCUGCAGCUGAACUGAGAUUUCACUCCAUCCUGACUUCACCUGCUGGUCCCGGCUGCCUUGAGAUCAGGUUGUCCCAGUGGACAAACGUAUGGGCGUGUGUCCGUCCAUAGAGUGGAUGAUGUCAGCAUCGUUCUUUCUUCUCCAGGGCCCUCACGCCUUCCCCCUCCACCACCCCACCUAGAAGCCAGUGCCCUCACCUCUUCCCCCUGCCUGAACACCCACCCUCCAGACAGUGUCUGCAAUGAGUCUGCUGCCCGCAAGCAUGAUGGCGUGAACUGAGGUAUGAGUGUUGAAUGUCAGAGACCUGGUUCCACUUGGCUCUUCCUCCAAGGACCUUGGACAAGACCUUUUCACUCUGGGUCUCCGAGUUCCCAGCUCUAAAACUAGUGGGGGUUCCACCUAAAUUAGUUCUUAGGACUCAUGUGGCUACUACAAUGUAAUCUGUGAAAAGAUUGAGGCAGGCAGGAGAAAGAGCUAACGGAGUUGGUCAG